Molecule: ribosomal RNA, 392 nt
Filed under: uncultured bacterium
Lineage: Bacteria
Description: partial 16S ribosomal RNA
Rfam family: Bacterial small subunit ribosomal RNA
Source: RNAcentral
CUACGGAGGAUGCGAGCGUUAUCCGGAUUUAUUGGGUUUAAAGGGAGCGUAGGCGGGAGCUUAAGUCAGCGGUUAAAUGGUGCGGCUCAACCGUGCCCUGCCGUUGAAACUGGGUUUCUUGAGAGUGCAAGAGGCGGAUGGAAUUCAUGGGGUAGCGGUGAAAUGCUUAGAUAUCAUGAAGAACUCCGAUUGCGAAGGCCGUCCGCUGGGGCACGUCUGACGCUGAUGCUCGAAGGUGCGGGAAUCAAACAGGAUUAGAUACCCUGGUAGUCCGCACGGUAAACGAUGAUUACCCGCUGUCGGCGGUAGACAGUCGGCGGCCAAGCGAAAGCGAUAAGUAAUCCACCUGGGGAGUACGCCGGCAACGGUGAAACUCAAAUGAAUUGGCGGGG